RNAcentral lists this ribosomal RNA (429 nucleotides) under uncultured bacterium. Its description in RNAcentral is "bacterial SSU rRNA". It matches the Rfam family "Bacterial small subunit ribosomal RNA", at positions 355 to 776 of the family's 1533-position model. RNAcentral also lists the same sequence under 1 other name. The record is from RNAcentral.
UGGGGAAUUUUGGACAAUGGGCGAAAGCCUGAUCCAGCAAUGCCGCGUGCAGGAAGAAGGCCUUCGGGUUGUAAACUGCUUUUGUACGGAACGAAAAGGUCUGCCCUAAUACGGCGGGCCCAUGACGGUACCGUAAGAAUAAGCACCGGCUAACUACGUGCCAGCAGCCGCGGUAAUACGUAGGGUGCGAGCGUUAAUCGGAAUUACUGGGCGUAAAGCGUGCGCAGGCGGUGAUGUAAGACAGUUGUGAAAUCCCCGGGCUCAACCUGGGAAUUGCAUCUGUGACUGCAUCGCUAGAGUACGGUAGAGGGGGAUGGAAUUCCGCGUGUAGCAGUGAAAUGCGUAGAUAUGCGGAGGAACACCGAUGGCGAAGGCAAUCCCCUGGACCUGUACUGACGCUCAUGCACGAAAGCGUGGGGAGCAAACAGG